GGCCAUACUCCUACGGGAGGCAGCAGCAGGGAAUAUUGCACAAUGGACGGAAGUCUGAUGCAGCGACGCCGCGUGGAUGAAGAAGGCCCUCGGGUUGUAAAAUCCUUUACAGGGGGAAGAGGAAGGACGGUACCCCUGGAACAAGUGUCGGCUAACUACGUGCCAGCAGCCGCGGUAAGACGUAGGACACAAGCGUUAUCCGGAUUUACUGGGCGUAAAGCGUCUGCAGGCGGACAGGUAAGUUGGGCGUGAAAGCUCCGGGCCCAACCCGGAGAGGUCGUUCAAUACUGCGUGUCUAGAGGGUGUCAGAGGGGAGUGGAAUUUCCGGAGUAGCGGUAAAAUGCGCAGAGAUCGGAAAGAACACCAAUGGCGAAGGCAGCUCCCUGGGGCAACCCUGACGCUAAGAGACGAAAGCUAGGGGAGCGAACAGGAUUAGAGACCCUGGUAGUCCUAGCCCUAAACGAUGGAUGCUGGAUGUGGGGCCAUAGCGCUCCGUGUCGAAGCGAACGCGUUAAGCAUCCCGCCUGGGGACUACGGCCGCAAGGUUAAAACUCAAACGAAUUGACGGGACCCCGCACAAGCAGCGGAGCGUGUGGUUUAAUUCGAUGCUACACGAAGAACCUUACCUGGGUUUGACAUCUAGGUGGUAGUGAAGCGAAAGCGGAGCGACCCUUCGGGGAGCCUAGACAGGUGCUGCAUGGCUGUCGUCAGCUCGUGCCGUGAGGUGUCGGGUUAAGUCCCGUAACGAGCGCAACCCUUGCCCUCCGUUAUACGUGUCAGAGGGGACUGCCGGCGGUAAGCCGGAGGAAGGUGGGGAUGACGUCAAGUCAGCAUGGCCUUUAUAUCCAGGGCUACACACACGCUACAAUGGCCAGUACAAAGGGCAGCGAAGCCGCGAGGCGGAGCGAAUCCCAGCAAAGCUGGUCGUAGUUCGGAUUGCAGGCUGCAACCCGCCUGCAUGAAGCUGGAGUUGCUAGUAACCGCGCGUCAGCCAUAGUGCGGUGAUACGUUCCCGGGGUUUGUACACACCGCCCGUCACGUCAUGGGAGUCGAUAUCGCCUGAAGCCGGUGCCUAGCUCGGAAGAGAGGGCGCUGUCUAAGGCGGGGUCGCGACUGGGACGAAGUC
Molecule: ribosomal RNA, 1126 nt
Filed under: uncultured organism
Description: bacterial SSU rRNA
Rfam family: Bacterial small subunit ribosomal RNA
Source: RNAcentral